This 30-nucleotide non-coding RNA is filed under the name Cricetulus griseus (Chinese hamster). Lineage: Eukaryota; Metazoa; Chordata; Mammalia; Rodentia; Cricetidae. The record is from RNAcentral.
AAAAGCCUUUUGAGUGUAAUGAAUGUGGGA